Molecule: transfer RNA, 68 nt
Filed under: Marmota monax (woodchuck)
Lineage: Eukaryota; Metazoa; Chordata; Mammalia; Rodentia; Sciuridae
Rfam family: tRNA
About the family: Transfer RNA (tRNA) molecules are approximately 80 nucleotides in length. Their secondary structure includes four short double-helical elements and three loops (D, anti-codon, and T loops).
Source: Rfam by way of RNAcentral
GUUGUGGUUUAGUGGUAGAGCACUUGCCUAGAAUGUGUGAGGCCCUGGGUUCAAUUCUCAGCACAACA